UGGGGAAUUUUGGACAAUGGGGGAAACCCUGAUCCAGCCAUCCCGCGUGUGCGAUGAAGGCCUUCGGGUUGUAAAGCACUUUUGGCAGGAAAGAAACGUCAUGGGUUAAUACCCCGUGAAACUGACGGUACCUGCAGAAUAAGCUCCGGCUAACUACGUGCCAGCAGCCGCGGUAAUACGUAGGGUGCAAGCGUUAAUCGGAAUUACUGGGCGUAAAGCGUGCGCAGGCGGUUCGGAAAGAAAGAUGUGAAAUCCCAGAGCUCAACUUUGGAACUGCAUUUUUAACUACCGGGCUAGAGUGUGUCAGAGGGAGGUGGAAUUCCGCGUGUAGCAGUGAAAUGCGUAGAUAUGCGGAGGAACACCGAUGGCGAAGGCAGCCUCCUGGGAUAACACUGACGCUCAUGCACGAAAGCGUGGGGAGCAAACAGG
Molecule: ribosomal RNA, 429 nt
Filed under: Acidobacteriota bacterium
Lineage: Bacteria; Pseudomonadati; Acidobacteriota
Description: Acidobacteria bacterium partial 16S ribosomal RNA
Rfam family: Bacterial small subunit ribosomal RNA
Source: RNAcentral